AUUGAACGCUGGCGUCAGGCCUAACACAUGCAAGUCGAACGAGUGGCGGACGGGUGAGUAAUGUCUGGUAAACUGCCUGAUGGAGGGGGAUAACUACUGGAAACGGUAGCUAAUACCGCAUACUAUCAGAUGUGCCCAGAUGGGAUUAGCUAGUUGGUGGUGUAACGGCUCACCAAGGCGACGAUCCCUAGCUGGUCUGAGAGGAUGACCAGCCACACUGGAACUGAGACACGGUCCAGACUCCUACGGGAGGCAGCAGUGGGGAAUAUUGGACAAUGGGCGAAAGCCUGAUGCAGCCAUGCCGCGUGUAUGAAGAAGGCCUUCGGAUUGUAAAGUACUUUAAGCGGGGAGGCGUUACCAGCAGAAGAAGCACCGGCUAACUCCGUGCCAGCAGCCGCGGUAAUUC
RNAcentral lists this ribosomal RNA (406 nucleotides) under uncultured bacterium. Its description in RNAcentral is "partial 16S ribosomal RNA". It matches the Rfam family "Bacterial small subunit ribosomal RNA", at positions 30 to 526 of the family's 1533-position model. The record is from RNAcentral.